UACGGUGGGGGCAAGCGUUGUUCGGAAUUACUGGGCGUAAAGGGCUCGUAGGUGGCCAACUAAGUCACACGUGAAAUCCCUCGGCUUAACCGGGGAACUGCGUGUGAUACUGGAUGGCUUGAGUUUGGGAGAGGGAUGCGGAAUUCCAGGUGUAGCGGUGAAAUGCGUAGAUAUCUGGAGGAACACCGGUGGCGAAGGCGGCAUCCUGGACCAAUACUGACGCUGAGGAGCGAAAGCUAGGGGAGCAAACGGG
RNAcentral lists this ribosomal RNA (253 nucleotides) under uncultured bacterium. Its description in RNAcentral is "partial 16S ribosomal RNA". It matches the Rfam family "Bacterial small subunit ribosomal RNA", at positions 524 to 776 of the family's 1533-position model. The record is from RNAcentral.